GCCUUCGUGGUGUAGUGGUCAGCACGCUCGACGAGUAACUGAGAGGUCCGUGGUUCGAUUCCCGGAGAUGGCG
Stegodyphus mimosarum is the source of this 73-nucleotide non-coding RNA. The record is from Rfam. Lineage: Eukaryota; Metazoa; Arthropoda; Arachnida; Araneae; Eresidae.